UACGUAGGGGGCAAGCGUUGUCCGGAUUCAUUGGGCGUAAAGAGCGUGUAGGCGGCCAGGUAGGUCGGUUGUGAAAACUGGAGGCUCAACCUUGAGAGGUCGACCGAAACCAUCUGGCUAGAGUCCGGGAGAGGAGAGUGGAAUUCCUGGUGUAGCGGUGAAAUGCGCAGAUAUCAGGAAGAACACCCGUGGCGAAAGCGGCUCUCUGGAACGGUACUGACGCUGAGACGCGAAAGCGUGGGGAGCGAACAGG
Molecule: ribosomal RNA, 253 nt
Filed under: uncultured bacterium
Lineage: Bacteria
Description: partial 16S ribosomal RNA
Rfam family: Bacterial small subunit ribosomal RNA
Source: RNAcentral